GACGAACGCUGGCGGCGUGCCUAAUACAUGCAAGUCGAACGCAUUUUCUUUCACCGUAGCUUGCUACACCGAAAGAAAAUGAGUGGCGAACGGGUGAGUAACACGUGGGUAACCUGCCCAUCAGCGGGGGAUAACACUUGGAAACAGGUGCUAAUACCGCAUAAUUCCAUUUACUGCAUGGUAGAUGGAUGAAAGGCGCUUUUGCGUCACUGAUGGAUGGACCCGCGGUGCAUUAGCUAGUUGGUGGGGUAACGGCCUACCAAGGCUGCGAUGCAUAGCCGAACUGAGAGGGUGAUCGGCCACACUGGGACUGAGACACGGCCCAGACUCCUACGGGAGGCAGCAGUAGGGAAUCUUCGGCAAUGGACGCAAGUCUGACCGAGCAACGCCGCGUGAGUGAAGAAGGUUUUCGGAUCGUAAAACUCUGUUGUUAGAAAAGAACAAGGAUGAGAGUGGAAAGUUCAUCCCUUGACGGUAUCUAACCAGAAAGCCACGGCUAACUACGUG
This 507-nucleotide ribosomal RNA is filed under the name uncultured bacterium. RNAcentral's name for it is "partial 16S ribosomal RNA". It matches the Rfam family "Bacterial small subunit ribosomal RNA", at positions 28 to 507 of the family's 1533-position model. The record is from RNAcentral.